CCUACGGGUGGCUGCAGUGAGGAAUAUUGGUCAAUGGGAGAGAUCCUGAACCAGCCAAGCCGCGUGAGGGAAGACGGCCCUAUGGGUUGUAAACCGCUUUUAUCGGAGAACAAAACGCGUUACGAGUCCCGCACUGCGUGUAUCCGAUGAAAAAGCACCGGCUAACUCCGUGCCAGCAGCCGCGGUAAUACGGAGGAUGCGGGCGUUAUCCGGAUUUAUUGGGUUUAAAGGGGGCGUAGGCCGUAUGUUAAGCGUGCGGGGAAAUUUCCGGGCCCAACCCCGGCCGAGCAGCGGGAACUGGCGGGCUUGAGUCGGCGGAAAGCACGCGGAAUGCGGGGUGUAGCGGUGAAAUGCUUAGAUAUGGCGCAGAACUCCGAUUGCGAAGGCAGCGUGCCGGAGCGAGACUGACGCUGAGGCUCGAAAGCGUGGGGAUCGAACAGGAUUAGAUACCCGGGUAGUC
This 460-nucleotide ribosomal RNA is filed under the name uncultured bacterium. RNAcentral's name for it is "partial 16S ribosomal RNA". It matches the Rfam family "Bacterial small subunit ribosomal RNA", at positions 338 to 795 of the family's 1533-position model. The record is from RNAcentral.